UACGUAGGGCGCAAGCGUUGUCCGGAAUUAUUGGGCGUAAAGAGCUCGUAGGCGGCUUGUCGCGUCGUUCGUGAAAACCCACAGCUCAACUGUGGGCUUGCGGUCGAUACGGGCAGGCUGGAGUUCGGUAGGGGAGACUGGAAUUCCUGGUGUAGCGGUGAAAUGCGCAGAUAUCAGGAGGAACACCGGUGGCGAAGGCGGGUCUCUGGGCCGAUACUGACGCUGAGGAGCGAAAGCGUGGGGAGCGAACAGG
This 253-nucleotide ribosomal RNA is filed under the name uncultured bacterium. RNAcentral describes it as "partial 16S ribosomal RNA". It matches the Rfam family "Bacterial small subunit ribosomal RNA", at positions 524 to 776 of the family's 1533-position model. The record is from RNAcentral.